RNAcentral lists this ribosomal RNA (323 nucleotides) under uncultured bacterium. RNAcentral describes it as "bacterial SSU rRNA". It matches the Rfam family "Bacterial small subunit ribosomal RNA", at positions 28 to 334 of the family's 1533-position model. The record is from RNAcentral.
GACGAACGCUGGCGGCGUGCCUAACACAUGCAAGUCGAACGGACAUUUUUUGGAAAGUUCUUCGGAACUGGAAUCUAAAUGUUAGUGGCGGACGGGUGAGUAACGCGUGGGUAACCUGCCUCAUACAGGGGGAUAACAGUUAGAAAUGACUGCUAAUACCGCAUAAGACCACAGGAUCGCAUGAUCCGGUGGUAAAAACUCCGGUGGUAUGAGAUGGACCCGCGUCUGAUUAGCUAGUUGGUGGGGUAACGGCUCACCAAGGCGACGAUCAGUAGCCGACCUGAGAGGGUGACCGGCCACAUUGGGACUGAGACACGGCCCAA